Molecule: ribosomal RNA, 500 nt
Filed under: uncultured Glomeromycotina
Lineage: Eukaryota; Fungi; Glomeromycota
Description: partial small subunit ribosomal RNA
Rfam family: Eukaryotic small subunit ribosomal RNA
Source: RNAcentral
CCAAUAGCGUAUAUUAAAGUUGUUGCAGUUAAAAAGCUCGUAGUUGAAUUUCGGGGUUAGCAAGUUGGUCGUGCCUUCGGUAUGCACUGGCUUUGCUGAUUCCUCCUUCUUGAAGAACUGUGAUGCUAUUAAUUUGGUGUUGCAGGGAAACAGGACUGUUACUUUGAAAAAAUUAGAGUGUUUAAAGCAGGCUAUGGCUUGAAUACAUUAGCAUGGAAUAAUGAAAUAGGACGUUUGAUCCUAUUUUGUUGGUUUCUAGGAUUGACGUAAUGAUUAAUAGGGAUAGUUGAGGGCAUUAGUAUUCAAUUGUCAGAGGUGAAAUUCUUGGAUUUAUUGAAGACUAACUACUGCGAAAGCAUUUGCCAAGGAUGUUUUCAUUAAUCAAGAACGAAAGUUAGGGGAUCGAAGACGAUCAGAUACCGUCGUAGUCUUAACCAUAAACUAUGCCGACUAGGGAUCGGAUGAUGUUAAUUUUCUAAUGACUCAUUCGGCGCCUUACG